RNAcentral lists this ribosomal RNA (250 nucleotides) under uncultured bacterium. RNAcentral describes it as "partial 16S ribosomal RNA". It matches the Rfam family "Bacterial small subunit ribosomal RNA", at positions 82 to 334 of the family's 1533-position model. The record is from RNAcentral.
CCUUUGCCGGCGACCGGCGCACGGUGAGUAACACGUAUCCAACCUGCCGAUGACUCGGGGAUAGCCUUUCGAAAGAAAGAUUAAUACCCGAUGGCAUAGUUCUUCCGCAUGGUAGAACUAUUAAAGAAUUUCGGUCAUCGAUGGGGAUGCGUUCCAUUAGGUUGUUGGCGGGGUAACGGCCCACCAAGCCUUCGAUGGAUAGGGGUUCUGAGAGGAAGGUCCCCCACAUUGGAACUGAGACACGGUCCAA